AAACACUCCAGGACCUUGGGAAAGAAAUCUGUAUCAGACAUGUGGGCUUCAUUAAGGGAAAUGCCUUCAGAAGAUUAUUUUUCCAUGUUAUGAGAAAAAAUCUCAACAACCACAGCAGAUGUUCCAGUGCCCAGGUGACCUAGAAGCUUCAUGUGGAGGUGAUGGAACUUCAGUAGGCCUGGAAGUGAUGCAGUAUCUUCUGCCCUCAAUGACAUCUUGAAUGACCAUAUACAAGAAGCGGAGUCCAAGACAAGCUGUAGUGGCUCACGUGCACUCCCAACACUUUGGGAGACCGAGGUGGGAGGAUCACUUGAGCCCAGGAGUUCAAGACCAACCUAGGCAACACAGAGACACCCUGUCUCCACACAAAAAAAAUAAAAAUUAGCCAGGCAUGGCAGCAUGCACCUGGAAUUUUAGCUAUUGGGGAGGCUGAGGUGGGAGGAUCACUUGAGCCUAGGAGGUGGAGGCUGCAGUGAGCUGUGAUCAUGCCACUGCACUCCAGUCCAGUGAUAGACCAAGAUCCUGUCUUGAAAAACAAACAAACAAACAAAAAAACAGAGUCCAGUUCCAGCUUCAUGCACAGAGUGGGUGUGCAGCUUCAACAGCAGACGCUGGGGUCGACAACAGCCGCAGUGUUCUUUGAAGGGGCAAGGUAGGAAGGAUCCUAGAGGCAAUAAAUAUGGCUCCUUGGGGACUUUGUUUUCUUUCUUGCAAAGAGCCAGGUCUAUUAAACAUCAGCUCUGCAGAGGGGAGAGCACACUGAGGAAGCAGAACUUACUGCACAUCAAGGGAGGAGCCCUUACAAAGUAGCAGGUUGCAGACAAUUUGCAAAUUCCGGCAAGAGUAAAUGAAGAACACAGUAUUUCACAGCCAGUGAGGGCAGUAUGACUUCAUGGAUAAGAGUGUGCUCCCUUUACAGUGCAAUAAAAAAACUGCACUUAAUGCCCAAAUGCCUGAAUUGUAAUCUUGGCUCUGACGGUACAAGCUGUGUGAAUUUGAACAAGUUACUUGCAGUCUCUCAUUGUUGACUAGAUAAUAAUGGUACACAUCUUAGGGUUGUUGCACAGAUUUAGUGCGUUAAUGUACAUAAAAUGCUUGCCACAGAGCUUAGCAUAAG
This 1117-nucleotide long non-coding RNA is filed under the name Homo sapiens (human). RNAcentral describes it as "HSALNT0199678". The record is from RNAcentral. Lineage: Eukaryota; Metazoa; Chordata; Mammalia; Primates; Hominidae.